This 1026-nucleotide ribosomal RNA is filed under the name Salmonella enterica. RNAcentral describes it as "partial 23S ribosomal RNA". It matches the Rfam family "Bacterial large subunit ribosomal RNA", at positions 1154 to 2141 of the family's 2925-position model. Lineage: Bacteria; Pseudomonadati; Pseudomonadota; Gammaproteobacteria; Enterobacterales; Enterobacteriaceae. The record is from RNAcentral.
CGUAUCACUUAAAGCGAUUCAGCGGGUUACGAUUGACGGAGCGAAGCGACGUCAAAGCGUAUACAAAGUCGAGUCGGUUUAAGGAUACGUUCGUUGGGUAGGGGAGCGUUCUGUAAGCCUGCGAAGGUGGCCUGUGAGGGUUGCUGGAGGUAUCAGAAGUGCGAAUGCUGACAUAAGUAACGAUAAAGCGGGUGAAAAGCCCGCUCGCCGGAAGACCAAGGGUUCCUGUCCAACGUUAAUCGGGGCAGGGUGAGUCGACCCCUAAGGCGAGGCCGAAAGGCGUAGUCGAUGGGAAACGGGUUAAUAUUCCCGUACUUGGUGUUACUGCGAAGGGGGGACGGAGAAGGCUAUGUUGGCCGGGCGACGGUUGUCCCGGUUUAAGCGUGUAGGCUGGUUUUCCAGGCAAAUCCGGAAAAUCAAGGCUGAGGCGUGACGACGAGGCACUACGGUGCUGAAGCAACAAAUGCCCUGCUUCCAGGAAAAGCCUCUAAGCAUCAGGUAACACGAAAUCGUACCCCAAACCGACACAGGUGGUCAGGUAGAGAAUACCAAGGCGCUUGAGAGAACUCGGGUGAAGGAACUAGGCAAAAUGGUGCCGUAACUUCGGGAGAAGGCACGCUGACACGUAGGUGAAGUGAUUUACUCAUGGAGCUGAAGUCAGUCGAAGAUACCAGCUGGCUGCAACUGUUUAUUAAAAACACAGCACUGUGCAAACACGAAAGUGGACGUAUACGGUGUGACGCCUGCCCGGUGCCGGAAGGUUAAUUGAUGGGGUCAGCGCAAGCGAAGCUCCUGAUCGAAGCCCCGGUAAACGGCGGCCGUAACUAUAACGGUCCUAAGGUAGCGAAAUUCCUUGUCGGGUAAGUUCCGACCUGCACGAAUGGCGUAAUGAUGGCCAGGCUGUCUCCACCCGAGACUCAGUGAAAUUGAACUCGCUGUGAAGAUGCAGUGUACCCGCGGCAAGACGGAAAGACCCCGUGAACCUUUACUAUAGCUUGACACUGAACAUUGAGCCUUGAUGUGUAG